Molecule: non-coding RNA, 68 nt
Organism: Desmophyllum pertusum
Lineage: Eukaryota; Metazoa; Cnidaria; Anthozoa; Scleractinia; Caryophylliidae
Source: the annotation of a GenBank genome assembly
UCGUAGCUCAAUGGUAGAGCGUCUGACCGGUGUGCAGAAGGUCAUAGGUUCGACUCCUGUUGGGAGAA